Non-coding RNA from Salvia hispanica, 1335 nucleotides. The record is from RefSeq and is a predicted model, not a curated record. Lineage: Eukaryota; Viridiplantae; Streptophyta; Magnoliopsida; Lamiales; Lamiaceae.
UGAGAAUAAAUUCCCAAACCCUAAAUUACCUCCCAGAUUAGGCGAUUCCAUACCAUUUCCUCCCUCAUCCGAAGAAGCGGCGCCGCCUCCUCCUUUGGCGACUGUUGCGACGCCGGUCGUUGCAGCUUCCGUCCCCGGGUCGCCGCCUCGGUUGUUAGCGGCUCCCAAGUUGCUCCCGAUGGCGGCGACCGGUUCUCCUCCGCCUACCGCCGCAGCUGCUCGGCCAUUGCCUUUAAACGAUGUCUCGCGGGUGUGUUUUUUCUUCCCACAAUGGGAACAGAUGAGCUUCGAUUUAUCCUCUUCGGUCCGUCUGUUCCACCCACCACCAUUUCCACCGCCGUUCCGUUGAGGAUGACUCCGAUGCACCGCCUGGUUUUGCCAUUGGUGAGUCACGGCCAGACCUGCCCCGACUCCCUGUGCGCCGGAGUCCUCUGUUUGGAGGACGCUUGAUCUAACGUCUUCUCGCCGGAGGAUGGCAUAUGCCGCUUCAGCCGAGGGAAGUGGUUCUGUCCUUAGAAUCUCUUUCUUGAUGCUUUCAUACUUGCUAUUUAGAGAUACCAGUAAUUGAAACACCCUCUGUUCUUGCUUCUCAGUGUUGUAUAUAUCGAUAUCUUCUGCGUACUUCAUUGGGUUUAGGUGUCUCCGAUCUAUGGAGAUCCACAAAUCGUUCAAUUUGGUCCAUAUUUCCUCCAGUGGCUCCUCCUUCUGUUUUAAUGUGAUUGCCUUUGCAUACAGAUCGUAUACUUGAAUUUUGUCACUCCCACUGGCAUAUGUGACUUCAAGGCUAACCCAUAUGUCUCUGGCCGUCGGAUAUUGGGUCAAUCGGCUCACCAGCCUCUGUUCCACAUUUUGGGUCAGCCAUGUGAAUACACAAUGGUCAGCCUGCUGCCACUUUCCGAAAGUUUGGUCGGUCUCUGCCGGGGGGGAUGGGACUCCAGUGAUGUGAGAAAUCAUUCCCCUCCCGCUGAUUGCCGCUUUCAUGAGGAUAGACCACUGUGGGUAAUUGUCACCAUUUAGUUUCUCUGCAAUAACUAAUGGUGAAGGAUCGAUUUUGUAGGUUUCUGGUGUUGGAGUUUUGAAUCUGCCGGGUUUUGGCUGAAAAGGUUUGAGAUUGGUCCGAGACAGUGAUGAGACUACUCUGAGUCUCACCCCUGCUCUGAUACCAUCUUGAAUGGUGUAUCAGGCAUGAUUUAAGAGUAGAGGGAUUAAUGAGAGAAGUAAUGAGAUUGAUAACUCGUAGAUGAUUUAUUACUGCAGAGACUAACCCUUUAUAUAGGGUUGAUACAUGUGUAAUUAUGGUAUAAUAUCAAUCAAAUAUCAAUCAUCCUAUUCUAU